GAGGGUGGAGAGGAAGAGGGCGCACAAAAUAAUCUCAUGGGUUGAGAACCACUCAAGUUGACUAUUUCAUCAGCCAUGAUCUCAGCUUCAGAGUGUCUGGACAGUUCAGCCUAACAUGAGCAGGUCUGCUUUAGCUUCGAUCGUUCGAAAAUUCCUGAGAGUGAACAGAGACCGCCUUGGAGUGGACAACACUGCUGCUUUUCUCUGAGACGUGGGAAUAUGAUGAUAUAGACUGUCUCACCGUCUGUCUCAAUGAAAUACAGCAAAGAAGAAUCCCAGACGAUCAAGUCUUUCAUAACAUUCAGCGAUGCGGUGCGGUGACAACUGAUCGUGUCCUUAAGAGAAAUGCCAUUGCAUGAAGCAGGUGUACCGAGUGCCCUUUGAGAGGAACCCCGAUAAGAGUGAAGGAGUUCCGAUUCCAGUUUGUCUGCAUUCACGUAUGAUGGUAGGUGUAUGACUUCAACCCAAAUGACAUGGAGACACAGA
This is a long non-coding RNA of Esox lucius (northern pike), 486 nucleotides long. The record is from Ensembl. NCBI's taxonomy places the organism in Eukaryota, Metazoa, Chordata, Actinopteri, Esociformes, Esocidae.